RNAcentral lists this small RNA (128 nucleotides) under Marmota monax (woodchuck). The record is from RNAcentral. Lineage: Eukaryota; Metazoa; Chordata; Mammalia; Rodentia; Sciuridae.
GCCAGGUGCGGAGACGUACACCUGUAAUCCCAGCAGCUUGGGAGGCUGAGGCAGGAGGAUUGUGAGUUCAAAACCAGCCUCAGCAACAGCAAGGCUUGCUAAGCAAACUCAGUGAGACCCUGUCUCUA